UACGGAGGAUGCGAGCGUUAUCCGGAUUUAUUGGGUUUAAAGGGUGCGUAGCCGGCUUAGUAAGUCAGCGGUGAAAUUUUGCAGCUUAACUGUAACAGUGCCGUUGAUACUGCCAGGCUAGGAUUUGGUUGCUGUGGGUGGAAUGUGUGGUGUAGCGGUGAAAUGCUUAGAUAUCACACAGAAUAUCGAUUGCGAAGGCAGCUCACAAAGCCAAGAUUGACGCUGAGGCACGAAAGUGUGGGGAUCAAACA
RNAcentral lists this ribosomal RNA (251 nucleotides) under uncultured prokaryote. RNAcentral describes it as "partial 16S ribosomal RNA". It matches the Rfam family "Bacterial small subunit ribosomal RNA", at positions 524 to 774 of the family's 1533-position model. The record is from RNAcentral.